CCUACGGGAGGCAGCAGUGGGGAAUCUUAGACAAUGGGCGCAAGCCUGAUCUAGCCAUGCCGCGUGAGUGACGAAGGCCUUAGGGUCGUAAAGCUCUUUCGCCUGUGAUGAUAAUGACAGUAGCAGGUAAAGAAACCCCGGCUAACUCCGUGCCAGCAGCCGCGGUAAUA
This 170-nucleotide ribosomal RNA is filed under the name uncultured Alphaproteobacteria bacterium. RNAcentral's name for it is "partial 16S ribosomal RNA". It matches the Rfam family "Bacterial small subunit ribosomal RNA", at positions 338 to 525 of the family's 1533-position model. The record is from RNAcentral. Lineage: Bacteria; Pseudomonadati; Pseudomonadota; Alphaproteobacteria.